This 278-nucleotide ribosomal RNA is filed under the name uncultured eukaryote. RNAcentral describes it as "partial 18S ribosomal RNA". It matches the Rfam family "Eukaryotic small subunit ribosomal RNA", at positions 25 to 295 of the family's 1831-position model. The record is from RNAcentral.
UAACAUAUGCUUGUCUCAAAGAUUAAGCCAUGCAUGUCUAAGUAUAAACAACUUUAUACUGUGAAACUGCGUACAGCUCAUUAAAUCAGUCAUUAUUUAUUUGAUGGUUUCUUACUACACAUGGAUACCCGUAGUAAUUCUAGAGCUAAUACAUGCAAAAAAUCCCGACUCACGAAGGGAUGUAUUUAUUAGAUAAAAAACCAAUGCAUCCUCUGGGUGCCUUUUGUGGUGAUUCAUAAUAACUGAUCGAAUCGCAUGGCCUUGUGCUGGCGAUAGUU